UAACUUUUCUUUUGUGGUUGAUGAGGAAGACCUCAACAGAUGAGUUACAAUAAGGGACUAUUGGAUCAGAUCAGCUGGUACCCAGGGAACUUGAACGGACGAACUAGAUUCAUGAACAACCACCUUCAGUCGGUAAACCAUGAGGUUCAAGUGGCAUGGUCCUAUCCCUCAUCGUUCCAGGCUGCAUGUCUCAGAGAAUAAAAGGUGCCUAUGUGGUAAGUGUACCCUGGGGAAGGGAGAUGCCCAAGAAUUCUGUUUCAUUUACUAUAGCACAGUUUCUGGACCAACUCUUGGCUACUGAACCAAGGCCACAUGGGUCAAUGGGAAAGGCAGGGUCAGAAUCCAGAACCUCCAAAUCCGAGACCUGGUGGGACUCCAGUUCAUUCCUUUCUAAAUAUAAAAUUGAAGUAAUUACUGAUCAAAUGUGCCAUUGAGACGAAUAAUGAAAAGCUAAUAAUUGUUUUCCUUCCUUUUAAAGAAACACACCACACUCAGACACCCAUUUACAGAUAUUUUCAGUUAAAGUGUCACACAAUAUUUGUUAUAUCAGCAGGAGAAUGGAAAUUGAGUUGGCAGUGAAGCAUUGCAGUGACAACUGUUACCUUGGAAACUGUAGUAAGCAAUCAUAAUUACAAUUAGCAAGACUUGCACAAAGUAUACAUAAAUAUUCACGUGCCAGGGAUGAGUGUCACAUACACCAGACAGCAGAGGAAAUGGUGGGACUGUUUCUUUCUCUUUGACAUGUCCUUGCACGGAAUUGGGUUCUGUAACCACAUAUCACAGCUUCUUCGAAUUUAGGUAAAUAUAUUUCCUUAUGUGCUGGUGUUGGGGCUUGUACCAUAAUGACAUUUGACACCCAGCAGAUUACUUGGAAGCUUCAACUGACCCUUAGUUGAAGUAUGACCAGUCCUAAAUGGACUUUUAACAAAGCCUGAUCUCACAAGAAAAAAAGGCAAUUGUAAAUAAUAAAUGGUGCUGUAGCCCCA
This 986-nucleotide long non-coding RNA is filed under the name Vulpes vulpes (red fox). RNAcentral describes it as "lncRNA (ENSVVUG00000000837.1)". Lineage: Eukaryota; Metazoa; Chordata; Mammalia; Carnivora; Canidae. The record is from RNAcentral.